This 198-nucleotide ribosomal RNA is filed under the name uncultured bacterium. RNAcentral's name for it is "partial 16S ribosomal RNA". It matches the Rfam family "Bacterial small subunit ribosomal RNA", at positions 326 to 539 of the family's 1533-position model. The record is from RNAcentral.
ACGCUCGACACCUACGGGAAGCAGCAGUGGGGAAUAUUGCACAAUGGGGGAAACCCUGAUGCAGCGACGCCGCGUGAGCGAAGAAGUAUUUCGGUAUGUAAAGCUCUAUCAGCAGGGAAGAUCAUGACGGUACCUGACUAAGAAGCUCCGGCUAAAUACGUGCCAGCAGCCGCGGUAAUCUGAGCGGGCUGGCAAGGC